UAGUAACGGCGAGUGAAGCGGCAACAGCUCAAAUUUGAAAUCUGGCCUCGGCCCGAGUUGUAAUUUGUAGAGGAUGCUUUAGGCGCGGCUCCUUCUGAGUGCCCUGGAACGGGACGCCACAGAGGGUGAGAGCCCCGUAUAGUUGGAAGCCUAGCCUGUGUAAAGCUCCUUCGACGAGUCGAGUAGUUUGGGAAUGCUGCUCAAAAUGGGAGGUAAAUUUCUUCUAAAGCUAAAUACCGGCCAGAGACCGAUAGCGCACAAGUAGAGUGAUCGAAAGAUGAAAAGCACUUUGAAAAGAGGGUUAAAUAGCACGUGAAAUUGUUGAAAGGGAAGCGCUUGUGACCAGACUUGCGCCGGGCUGAUCAUCCGGAGUUCUCUCCGGUGCACUCUGCCCGGCUCAGGCCAGCAUCGGUUCUCGCGGGGGGAUAAAGGCCUCGGGAACGUAGCUCCUCCGGGAGUGUUAUAGCCCGGGGCGUAAUGCCCUCGCGGGGACCGAGGUUCGCGCAUCUGCAAGGAUGCUGGCGUAAUGGUCAUCAGCGACC
This 542-nucleotide ribosomal RNA is filed under the name Ovatospora brasiliensis. Its description in RNAcentral is "partial 28S ribosormal RNA". It matches the Rfam family "Eukaryotic large subunit ribosomal RNA", at positions 81 to 649 of the family's 3401-position model. The record is from RNAcentral. Lineage: Eukaryota; Fungi; Ascomycota; Sordariomycetes; Sordariales; Chaetomiaceae.